This 492-nucleotide ribosomal RNA is filed under the name uncultured bacterium. Its description in RNAcentral is "partial 16S ribosomal RNA". It matches the Rfam family "Bacterial small subunit ribosomal RNA", at positions 29 to 507 of the family's 1533-position model. The record is from RNAcentral.
AGUGAACGCUGGCGGUAGGCCUAACACAUGCAAGUCGAACGGCAGCACAGUAAGAGCUUGCUCUUACGGGUGGCGAGUGGCGGACGGGUGAGGAAUACAUCGGAAUCUACUUUUUCGUGGGGGAUAACGUAGGGAAACUUACGCUAAUACCGCAUACGACCUACGGUUGAAAGCAGGGGAUCUUCGGACCUUGCGCGAUUGAAUGAGCCGAUGUCGGAUUAGCUAGUUGGCGGGGUAAAGGCCCACCAAGGCGACGAUCCGUAGCUGGUCUGAGAGGAUGAUCGGCCACACUGGAACUGAGACACGGUCCAGACUCCUACGGGAGGCAGCAGUGGGGAAUAUUGGACAAUGGGCGCAAGCCUGAUCCAGCCAUACCGCGUGGGUGAAGAAGGCCUUCGGGUUGUAAAGCCCUUUUGUUGGGAAAGAAAAGCAGCAGGUUAAUACCCCGCUGUUCUGACGGUACCCAAAGAAUAAGCACCGGCUAACUACGUG